This 332-nucleotide ribosomal RNA is filed under the name uncultured bacterium. Its description in RNAcentral is "bacterial SSU rRNA". It matches the Rfam family "Bacterial small subunit ribosomal RNA", at positions 568 to 898 of the family's 1533-position model. The record is from RNAcentral.
CGCGUAGGCGGUGCGGUAAGUCACCUGUGAAACCUCCGGGCUCAACUCGGAGCCUGCAGGCGAAACUGCCGUGCUGGAGUGUGGGAGGGGUGCAUGGAAUUCCCGGUGUAGCAGUGAAAUGCGUAGAGAUCGGGAGGAACACCUGUGGCGAAAGCGGCGCACUGGACCACAACUGACGCUGAGGCGCGAAAGCUAGGGGAGCAAACAGGAUUAGAUACCCUGGUAGUCCUAGCCCUAAACGAUGGAUGCUUGGUGUAGCCGGUACCCAAUCCGGCUGUGCCGUAGCUAACGCGAUAAGCAUCCCGCCUGGGGAGUACGGUCGCAAGGCUGAA